GCGACCGUGGCGGAAUUGGCAGACGCGCACGUUUGAGGGGCGUGUGGGUAACCCCGUACGAGUUCAAGUCUCGUCGGUCGCACCA
Molecule: transfer RNA, 85 nt
Filed under: Clostridiales bacterium
Lineage: Bacteria; Bacillati; Bacillota; Clostridia; Eubacteriales
Description: tRNA-Leu
Rfam family: tRNA
About the family: Transfer RNA (tRNA) molecules are approximately 80 nucleotides in length. Their secondary structure includes four short double-helical elements and three loops (D, anti-codon, and T loops).
Source: RNAcentral